Molecule: ribosomal RNA, 648 nt
Filed under: uncultured bacterium
Lineage: Bacteria
Description: bacterial SSU rRNA
Rfam family: Bacterial small subunit ribosomal RNA
Source: RNAcentral
AUUAGAGUUUGAUCCUGGCUCAGAGCGAACGCUGGCGGCAGGCCUAACACAUGCAAGUCGAACGAACUCUUCGGAGUUAGUGGCGGACGGGUGAGUAACACGUGGGAACGUGCCUUUAGGUUCGGGAUAACUCAGGGAAACUUGUGCUAAUACCGAAUGUGCCCUUCGGGGGAAAGAUUUAUCGCCUUUAGAGCGGCCCGCGUCUGAUUAGCUAGUUGGUGAGGUAAAGGCUCACCAAGGCGACGAUCAGUAGCUGGUCUGAGAGGAUGAUCAGCCACAUUGGGACUGAGACACGGCCCAAACUCCUACGGGAGGCAGCAGUGGGGAAUCUUGCGCAAUGGGCGAAAGCCUGACGCAGCCAUGCCGCGUGAAUGAUGAAGGUCUUAGGAUUGUAAAAUUCUUUCACCGGGGACGAUAAUGACGGUACCCGGAGAAGAAGCCCCGGCUAACUUCGUGCCAGCAGCCGCGGUAAUACGAAGGGGGCUAGCGUUGCUCGGAAUUACUGGGCGUAAAGGGAGCGUAGGCGGACAUUUAAGUCAGGGGUGAAAUCCCGGGGCUCAACCUCGGAAUUGCCUUUGAUACUGGGUGUCUUGAGUAUGAGAGAGGUGUGUGGAACUCCGAGUGUAGAGGUGAAAUUCGUAGAUAUUC